This 91-nucleotide microRNA precursor is filed under the name Chlorocebus sabaeus (green monkey). RNAcentral's name for it is "miRNA (ENSCSAG00000024881.1)". Lineage: Eukaryota; Metazoa; Chordata; Mammalia; Primates; Cercopithecidae. The record is from RNAcentral.
GAGAGUGUAUGUGUGUGUGUGUAUAUAUAUAGAGAGAGAGUGUAUACACACACACACACACACACACACACACACACACACACACACUUUU